This 429-nucleotide ribosomal RNA is filed under the name Bacteroidota bacterium. RNAcentral describes it as "Bacteroidetes bacterium partial 16S ribosomal RNA". It matches the Rfam family "Bacterial small subunit ribosomal RNA", at positions 355 to 776 of the family's 1533-position model. The record is from RNAcentral. Lineage: Bacteria; Pseudomonadati; Bacteroidota.
UAGGGAAUCUUCCGCAAUGGACGCAAGUCUGACGGAGCAACGCCGCGUGAGUGAAGAAGGAUUUCGGUUCGUAAAACUCUGUUGUUAGAGAAGAACAGCGCAUAGAGUAACUGUUAUGCGUGUGACGGUAUCUAACCAGAAAGCCACGGCUAACUACGUGCCAGCAGCCGCGGUAAUACGUAGGUGGCAAGCGUUGUCCGGAUUUAUUGGGCGUAAAGCGAGCGCAGGCGGUCAAUUAAGUCUGAUGUGAAAGCCCCCGGCUCAACCGGGGAGGGUCAUUGGAAACUGGUUGACUUGAGUGCAGAAGAGGGGAGUGGAAUUCCAUGUGUAGCGGUGAAAAGCGUAGAUAUAUGGAGGAACACCAGUGGCGAAGGCGACUCUCUGGUCUGUAACUGACGCUGAGGCUCGAAAGCGUGGGUAGCAAACAGG